Lycium ferocissimum is the source of this 1704-nucleotide long non-coding RNA. RefSeq lists it as uncharacterized. The transcript has 2 exons. The record is from RefSeq and is a predicted model, not a curated record. Lineage: Eukaryota; Viridiplantae; Streptophyta; Magnoliopsida; Solanales; Solanaceae.
UUUCCUAAUCCUCUUUAUUUAUUUCUUUCAUUUCUUAUGUUGCUGUUUGAUAAUUGAUUGAAGUAUGUUUUUGCACCUUGGAAUAUACUUAUCUCGACUACAACUAAGGAUUAUACUAAGUUACAAACUGGAAUAGCUAUUACUCCCUCUGUCCCAAUUUAUGUGAACGCUGUUUGACUGGGCAUGGAGUUUAAGACAAUCCAUAAAUAUUUGUGUGGCUGGAAAUCAUUUCAUUAAGGGAAAAAGAGAAAGUUUUAAGUUAAAUUAUUUCUAAAUAUAGAAAUGUAUCCUUCUUUUCUGGAACAGACUGGAACGGAAAGUGUAUCGCAUAAAAUUGGGACAGAGGGAGUAAGUGUUGCAGAUAUAAUUCUAUCUGUAGUGUUGGAUGAUUUCGAUUUGAACAUAUUCUGCUGUUUUUUCCCUUGUUAGUUCUGGUCUCCCCUACCAGUGUUGCUUACCCAUGUAGGUUAAUUUUGUUCUAAUAACUGUGUCAAAGACUCGAAACUGUAGUAUCAAUAGUUGUAUAUAGAUUUCAACUAGUUACUCCCUCCGUCCAUAUGUACUUAAAUAAUUAAUAAAAUGAUAAGUUUACUGUAUCGCCCUUGAUAUAAUAAAUUCAAUGUUUUGGGAAAUGCACCGGGAAAUGAUUAUAGUUAAUAGUAAUGUUAAAUAAGGAACUAAGUGGUAAUUUUGUCUUGGUUUUCCAACCUGGACAAGUAAAAGUGAACAUCUAUUUUUAGUAUAGUGGACGAAUAAAAAUGGACGGAGGGAGUAAUUGCUAGGAGUCCAUUUAGUCCAUGUGUAGGACAGUAGAAAAUUAGAGAACCUUUAGUGUUAGAUAACCCCAAAUUAUUGAACUUUGGAAUGUGCUAUUCUAUUUAAUACCUCUUCUCUCCACCUGAUCGGGUUCCUUUCCCUGUUGACAGUUGGCAGAGAAAGAUUUAUGGUCACAAUUUUGACCAUAGUUUAUUAGCAUGUCGCUUAAGGUUAGGUUGGCAUUAAUGCAACAUAAAAGCUGAUACGUCGGGCUGAUUGGGCGAAUGGAGAUGUUCUUAUUUUUAUGAAGAGGGAAAAAUUACCUCAUUCCGAUAUGCAAGUUUAGUCGAUGUAGUUAAGUUUGCACGACUAUUUUCAUAUUAGGGGAACGAAAUGCAAUUUGAUAUUGAGAUACUAUUCUGUCAUGUAGGAGGAUACAUCCAGGGUCCUUGUAGAUUCACACCAAAAAUCCCACUCAUUAUGCCAUAUGAGGGAGAGAGCCAAGAAACAUAGCAUAGCGUUAAUUGUUAACGAUUUAUCUUAGAGGUUUUACUUUUAAUAAGUGGAAUGUAUAUCUUUUGUAAGAGGUCUCUCUCCCGUGAUAAUUUGUACGGAUGUAUGCUUCUCUUUUAAGUGCACACUGUUAGCUUGUGUCUAUGUCCUGUAAGUGCAAAGUGUUAGGUGUGUCUAUGUCCUUUAAAUUCAAACUGUUAGGUGUAUCCAAAACUUGAUAGCUUCUUUGCCAAAUGUGUUGGUUCAUAAACCAUUAAGCUUCCCAGUUGACACGAACGAAUAGCUUCCUAUAUAUCACUUCACAUGCCAUUUCUUGGGGGAUGGGGGUUUAGGUGUUUAUAGAAUUACUUGCUUUAAUCUUGUUCUUCUGUAAUUGAACUUAGUGACAAUUACUGUUACCUUUCUCAACCCAAAAAAAAACAAAACACAUAGUUA